CCUGUUGGCAGACCAAUGCAUUAGAAUUAGAAUCUAAUUAUCC
RNAcentral lists this transfer RNA (43 nucleotides) under Nemesia meridionalis. RNAcentral's name for it is "tRNA-Leu". The record is from RNAcentral. Lineage: Eukaryota; Metazoa; Arthropoda; Arachnida; Araneae; Nemesiidae.